Molecule: ribosomal RNA, 431 nt
Filed under: Microcharidius baeturicus
Lineage: Eukaryota; Metazoa; Arthropoda; Insecta; Coleoptera; Carabidae
Description: partial large subunit ribosomal RNA
Rfam family: Bacterial large subunit ribosomal RNA (bases 191-349)
Source: RNAcentral
UAAAAGACGAGAAGACCCUAUAGAGUUUAAUAUUUAUUUUAUAGUAUUUAUUAUUGAUUUAUUUAUUAUAUUUAAAAUAAUUAUUUUAUUGGGGUAAUAUAAAGAUUUAAAAAAUUCUUUAAUAUAUUUAUUAUUUAUUUAUAUUUUUUUUGAUCCAUUUUUAUUGAUUAAAAGAUUAAGUUACCUUAGGGAUAACAGCGUAAUUUUUUUUGAGAGUUCAUAUUGAUAAAAAAGUUUGCGACCUCGAUGUUGGAUUAAAGAUUAGUUUAGGUGCAAAAGUUUAAAUUUUUGGUCUGUUCGACCAUUAAAUCUUUACAUGAUCUGAGUUCAGACCGGUUUAAGCCAGGUCGGUUUCUAUCUUUAUAAAACUAAAAUAUUUUAGUACGAAAGGACCAAAUAUUAAUUAUAAUAAUUAUUUUUUGAAUAACAUU